This 126-nucleotide non-coding RNA is filed under the name Streptomyces sp. Lineage: Bacteria; Bacillati; Actinomycetota; Actinomycetes; Kitasatosporales; Streptomycetaceae. The record is from RNAcentral.
ACGAGGAAACCGGUGGAAAUCCGGCGCGGUCCCGCCACUGUGAUCGGCGAGCACGUUCCGCACAUGCCACUGCCCUGCCGGGUGGGAAGGCGCGGAGCGGGCGGCGAGCCGAGAGCCAGGAGACUC